RNAcentral lists this long non-coding RNA (374 nucleotides) under Gallus gallus (chicken). Lineage: Eukaryota; Metazoa; Chordata; Aves; Galliformes; Phasianidae. The record is from RNAcentral.
CUGACUUGUUAAAAUGAUAAAUCCAGUGUGUUCUCGGCCUCCAAAGGUCUUCAUAGUAAUAACCAGAAGGGGAAACUGUGGGAUCUUCAGCUCUGUCCAUAUUGCUUGAAUCUGUAAAUGCCUUGGGCUUUACAAUCACUGAGUCAGGUCCACUGGAGAGUAUUGGCAUUUUGAUGUUCACAUCACUUUGGAAAAAGAGGCUUUCUUCAUGCGUCAGAAGGCCUUUUUGAUAUCCACCCUUGGCAUGGCUGAUUCGGCUAGCACAGGACAGUUUCCGUGGCUUGUAACAGAACCAUGGCUCACCAGUGUAGAGAUCCGUGAAGUUACAGACUGGAAGACCUCCAGGCAAGCACACAUUGCACUCAGUAGUUUCU